AUGAGGGAGGCUGGGAAAUCAGCCUGGUGUGCUCAUCCGGGCGCUUCCAGCCUCUGGAAUUGCUUUGCCUUGGGAAUUGUCUCGGCUCUGGAAUUGUUGUUUUGCCUCUGGAAUUGUUGUCUCGGCUAUGGAAUUGUUGUCUCGGCUCUGGAAUUGUUUUGCCUCUGGAGUUGUUUUGUCUCUGGAAUUGUUGUCUCGGCUCUGGAAUUGUUUUGCCUCUGGAGUUGUUGUCCUGGCUCUGGAAUUGUUGCUUUGCUUGUGGUUUUUCCCCCUCCAAACGCUCCCAUGGGUUCCUGUGGCUUCCCCCAUCCGGGCUCAGCCUCCAUCCUGGAAAAAGGAGCAACAUUUGGCCCUCUUGGCUGCAAACGGCACAUUCCAGAGGGGUUUGGAUCCCGCAGGCAUUCCCUAGAGAUCGCCCAUCCCAUCCCGCGGGACGCCGAGGGAGCUUUGGGGACGCUCAGGUCCCUGGGCUGGGUCCCUUCUCUCAAAUUCAGCUUUUGGAGUUCGGCCUUUCCGAACGUUCAUUCCUGUCGGGAUAAAUCCCUGGGGAUUUCCUGGGGUGGCUUCCAGCUCGUCCUGGGACAUCCUGGACCACGGCCAGGAUCAGGAGGGGAUCUGGGAGUGAAAUCCAGGAAUGAAAUCCAUGAAAUCCAGGUCCCUCCCUGCCCGCAGGAGCUGCCUCGGGGUGGCACAAAAGCCCCGGGGGCGACAGCUUUGUCCCCUGCGUGUGGCACUGUGGGAAGCCUCAAAUCCAUGAUUUUCAGACAAGAAACCUCAAAUCCAUGAUUUUCAGCCGGGAAAGCCUUGAAUCCAUGAUUUUCAGACAAAAAAAACCCCUCAAAUCCAUUCUUUUCAUCCGAGAAAGUCACAAAUCCACAAUUUUCAGCAAGGAAAGCCUCAAAUCCAUGAUUUUCAGACAAGAAGCCUCAAAUUUGUGAUUUUCAGCUUGGGAAAGCCUCAAAUCCAUGAUUUUCAGACAAGAAACCUCAAAUCCAUGAUUUUCAGCCGGGAAAGCCUUGAAUCCAUGAUUUUCAGUUGAGAAAGGCUCAAAUCCAUGAUUUUCAGUUAGGAAAGGCUCAAAUCCAUUAUUUUCAGCAAGGAAACCUCAAAUCCAUGAUUUUCAGCUGGGAAAGCCUUGAAUCCAUGAUUUUCAGCCGGGAAAGCCUCAAAUCCAUGAUUUUCAGCCAGGAAGCCCUGGAGCCAUCUCAUUUUAUCCCCGAGCCUCGGUCCAUGGGGUUAACCUGGAGCAUUUGGAAUUGUCCACAUUGCACUGGGAAAAAGGUGGCUGCGCUCUGCCCCUGGAGAAAUCCGGGACUAGGAGGAUGGAAUUUCAGCUGGAUUGUCUUUCCCUCUGGAAAAUCCAGGUUUUUUAUCCCCCUGAGCAGCGCUGAGCUGCAGCUCUCUGCAUUUUUGGGAGCAGCUCCAGCUCCUGGCAGCGGCUCCGGGCUGCAGCAGGAGCUGAACUCUGGCUGUGCCUGCAGAUCCCUGUUCCCAAAUCCCACAUUUCCAACAGAAAAUAAGAACGUUCCAGGCAGAAAGGGGAUGGGGGAGGAGGAAAAAAAAACUGAUUUUGGGGUAUUUAUCUCCCUGCCACCUUUUUUUUUUUUAUGAUUUGCAGAGCCUGCGCUCGUUUUUCCUCCCACACAGGGCCUGUUCCAUGGAAUUUCCCAAUCCAGCCCCUUCCCAUCCGGGCAGGAGGUCGCAGGUGCAUUUCCAGAAUAUCCCGAAUAUUCCCCUCCUGCCCCACGCCCUUCCUGGCUGUUCCUGCCUCCUUUUUUCCUGAGGA
Molecule: long non-coding RNA, 1786 nt
Filed under: Lonchura striata (white-rumped munia)
Lineage: Eukaryota; Metazoa; Chordata; Aves; Passeriformes; Estrildidae
Description: domestica (Bengalese finch) lncRNA (ENSLSDG00000010470.1)
Source: RNAcentral